GACGUAGGGCGCGAGCGUUGUCCGGAUUUAUUGGGCGUAAAGAGCUCGUAGGCGGUUUGUCGCGUCGGGAGUGAAAACCUUGGGCUUAACUCAGGGCUUGCUUUCGAUACGGGCAGACUAGAGGUAUGCAGGGGAGAACGGAAUUCCCGGUGUAGCGGUGAAAUGCGCAGAGAUCGGGAGGAACACCCGUAGCGAAGGCGGCACUCUGGGCCGGUACUGACGCUGAGGAGCGAAAGCGUGGGGAGCAAACAGG
RNAcentral lists this ribosomal RNA (253 nucleotides) under uncultured bacterium. RNAcentral describes it as "partial 16S ribosomal RNA". It matches the Rfam family "Bacterial small subunit ribosomal RNA", at positions 524 to 776 of the family's 1533-position model. The record is from RNAcentral.